GCAGCAAACCGAGCUUCCACCGCCCCGGACCAGCUGAUCUGGAAAUGGACGGCGAGCGGCACCUACUGCGCACAGUCCUGUUACUCGGCCACAUUCCAUGAAUCGACCGCCUGCUACUCCUGGAAACUUAUCUGGAAAAGCUGGGCGCCGCCGAGAGUCAAAUUCUUUCACUGGCUGGCCAACCAGGACCGUUGCUGGACUGCAGAGAGGUUGGCCCACCCUGGACUGCAAUAUCACCCUCGCUGUCUCCUAUGCGAUCAAGAGCCGGAAACGAUCCGACACCUACUGCUGGAAUGCCCCUUCGCUCGCCAAGCAUGGCACGAGGUCUUGGCCUGGCUUCGCAUCCCAGCCCCAAUACCCAACCGCGAGCCCUCACUCAUGGACUGGUGGAAGCAUGCUAAGGAAAACACACCACUGAUCCUUCACAAAGCCCUGAAAUCCGUCGCGCUGCUCGUGCCCUGGAUGGUUUGGAAGCCUAGGAACAGCUGCGUCUUCGACAACGCAAUACCAUCCAUCAAUACGCUUCUCGAUAGAAUCAAGGACGAGGCCUGCUCUUGGGCAGCUGCCGGGAUGAUUGGGAGGGUGUGGGAGUUGAAAGGGAAUUGUUUU
This 609-nucleotide ribosomal RNA is filed under the name Triticum aestivum (bread wheat). Its description in RNAcentral is "partial small subunit ribosomal RNA". Lineage: Eukaryota; Viridiplantae; Streptophyta; Magnoliopsida; Poales; Poaceae. The record is from RNAcentral.